UACGUAGGGGGCUAGCGUUGUCCGGAUUUAUUGGGCGUAAAGAGCGUGUAGGCGGUCAGGUAGGUCUGGUGUGAAAACUCGAGGCUUAACCUCGAGAUGUCAUCGGAAACCAUUUGGCUAGAGUCCGGAAGAGGAGAGUGGAAUUCCUGGUGUAGCGGUGAAAUGCGCAGAUAUCAGGAAGAACACCAAUGGCGAAAGCAGCUCUCUGGGACGGUACUGACGCUGAGACGCGAAAGCGUGGGGAGCGAACAGG
This 253-nucleotide ribosomal RNA is filed under the name uncultured bacterium. Its description in RNAcentral is "partial 16S ribosomal RNA". It matches the Rfam family "Bacterial small subunit ribosomal RNA", at positions 524 to 776 of the family's 1533-position model. The record is from RNAcentral.